AGUGCUCAGAGAUCUAAAGAUGGAAAGUGGGGAGGAGACCAGCUCUGAAAGCCCCCGCCUCUCCACACACAGAGCACCUGCAUGGAGAGAGGAGUCUGGUGGCAGGCAGGAGUGGGGGUUGGGCAAGUUCAAGGUGCUCCCCACCCAUCUUUUCUGGCCUCACCCUAGGCUCCCUGUGGGCCCCAUGCCAGACUCCAAAGCUCCCUCCCAGGCCCUGUAUAGGUAUUCAUGCAAAAGACACCAAUAACUGACAUCGCAUUUCAGCAGAAAGCAAGAGAGCUUCGUCCCAGAGUUCAUUUGACCAAGGGAGUUAGCAAGUGGGCUGAUUGCUCUGCAUGAUUGCUGGACAACCCUUCUUGACCAAGCCUACUCCCAGGAGACAUCCCAAGCAUCAAGGACACCAGUGAUGAAGACAACAUCAGAACACAGAAGAUCCAGGGGGAAUCUGCAACAGUGAGCUCCUACAGAGGAGUGCCUGGAUUCUAACAACAGCUUGUAGCCUGGACAUCACUCCUCCCUCUCUCUUCCAGCCUGCCACCCUUCCAGCUGAAGCCCAGCAUCUUUCACACCACCUGCUUCCAUCUCAUCAUCAAGCUUUGUCUGUUCUCUGAAUCCCUGUUGAACUCCACUGCACUGUGAGGCUUCAUUCAAGGACCCAACGCGUCCCAUCCUGCAGCUCUGUAAUGUGCAGGUUGAGAAUGUCCUGAGGGCAGUUUCCACACCUUACAGAUGGUGAAGUCCCUUGGAGCACAAAGCCCAGGGCUGGGUGCUGAAGCAGCCUUUACCGAGAGUUUGCUUUGCUUUUUGCUUCUCAUUAAACAUCAGAGGAAUCUUGCUGGAGAAAAUCUUUGUAAAUGUAAUAAAUGGGCAUGAACCUUUAUAAGGGUGGAGUAACCAUCAGAUACAACAUCAGAGAAAUUUCCUCCUGGACAGAAACCCUGGAUCAGGAUGCGUCCAUGGGAGAGCCCUUGGGCAAUCUGGAGGCUUGUCAGAGUUUCCUAAUUCUUAGGGAGUUUCCUAUUCCUUACUCAGUGUCAUGGGAGUCAAUUAUGUGAAU
Molecule: long non-coding RNA, 1057 nt
Organism: Ochotona curzoniae (black-lipped pika)
Lineage: Eukaryota; Metazoa; Chordata; Mammalia; Lagomorpha; Ochotonidae
Exons: 3
Source: RefSeq, a predicted model, not a curated record